GUUGCAUGUCAAUGUAUAACAAUAACAAAAUACACCCCAAAAGUUAUUUGAGGACGCUAAAAAUGUGAUUGUGUGGAACAAGCUGAAAGACAAAUAUUUAACGCAAAAUGUAAAAUAACCGCGAUUGGCUGGCAGCCAUCGCAGGGUACAUAUAGACCUGCUCACGAUUACACCAAGGGGCAAUUUAGAGCACUGUGUCAAACUCAAAGCCCAGGGGCCAAAUCUGGCCCGCCAUGUCAUUUUACGUGGCCAGUGAAAUUGGAAUUGAACCCUGGACCUCUGAACCGUGAGGCAAAUGUGCUAACCCGUUUGACGACCUUGUGUAUGUUAAAAAAAAAAAAAAAGAUUCUGAACUGUUCCUGAUGACAUGAACUGAAAACAUUGCAUUUU
This is a long non-coding RNA of Hippocampus zosterae (dwarf seahorse), 390 nucleotides long. RefSeq lists it as uncharacterized. The record is from RefSeq and is a predicted model, not a curated record. NCBI's taxonomy places the organism in Eukaryota, Metazoa, Chordata, Actinopteri, Syngnathiformes, Syngnathidae. The transcript has 2 exons.